AAGAAAUCAAGAAUUAAAUCUUAGUCUCAAUUCUCUUCCUCAACUGUUACCAGUUGGUUGUGUGUUUAAAGUGUAAGAAAGGACACAUAUUUAUACUAAAAUACAAGAGGGGGGAAAAGAAUUCUGGCCGAUGUGGGACUAAGUGUGGUGUGGCGAGAGCCACACGAUUUGAUUAAAAGGGAAUGGCCAUGAUCAAAAGCUGGCGGUUGCCAUUUGUCCCUAGCUGGCGAGCGGCAUGUGAUUUCCUUGUGGGCUUGCGUGUUUGUUUUGUGGGCUGCACAUGUGUGGCCCAAUUGGCUGCACAUGUGUGGCCCUUUUUGUCCAUUUUUGCUCCUUUUUAGUCCGUUUUCGCUCCUUUCUUCGACUCGAACACUUUUUAUCUGUUUAUUUAAAAUAUGAGAAAUAAGUAACUAUUUAUAUAAUAAAACUUCGGAAUCGAAAUAAAAACAUAUAAAAUAUAAUAGUAAAUUAACUAAAUAAAUAGCAUAUUUUUAGGUGUAUCAGAGGGGCCAAAACUGCAUUUAAGCAUAUUUAGUAUUAGACUCAAGAGAGAGUACACAAACAUUCUGCUAGAAUAUAUCACGAGCUACCAUUUAGUAAUUGUGUUGAAAUCCAAUAACUUGAAGGGUCCGUUUGGAAUGAAGGAAAGAAAGUUGAAGGAAAGAAAAUUACGCAAAUCAAUGAAUGAAUUUGGUCUAAAGUU
Molecule: long non-coding RNA, 703 nt
Filed under: Trifolium pratense (red clover)
Lineage: Eukaryota; Viridiplantae; Streptophyta; Magnoliopsida; Fabales; Fabaceae
Description: long non-coding RNA (TPRA_LNC013600)
Source: RNAcentral